This 368-nucleotide ribosomal RNA is filed under the name uncultured organism. RNAcentral describes it as "bacterial LSU rRNA". It matches the Rfam family "Bacterial large subunit ribosomal RNA", at positions 2099 to 2465 of the family's 2925-position model. The record is from RNAcentral.
CUUUACUGUAGCCUGGUAUUGGGUUCGGGCUUUGACUGCGCAGGAUAGGUGGGAGACUGAGAAGUGUGCCUUGUGGGGCACAUAGAGUCAACGGUGAGAUACCACUCUGUCAGAGCUAGAAUUCUAACCUUCACCCGUGAUCCGGGGAAGGAACCGUAUCAGGUGGGCAGUUUGACUGGGGCGGUCGCCUCCUAAAAGGUAACGGAGGCGCGCAAAGGUGUUCUCAGGCUGGUUGGAAAUCAGCCGUAGAGUGUAAAGGCAGAAGAACGCUUGACUGUGAGAGUGAAAACUCAAGCAGGGUGGAAACACGGGCUUAGUGAUCCGGCGGUAGGCGCGUGGAAGGGCCGUCGCUCAACGGAUAAAAGUUA